ACAUUUCCCUAAUACAAUGUAAUACAAAGUUAAAUAAAAUAUAGGCUAUCAAGUGGCAGGUUACAGGUAGUUUUACAUUAAUUUAGAAACAAAGCAUAAUAUUCUCCUUCAUAUUCAAGUUCAAAGGUCAAAACUGAAGUUACAAAUCUGAUAGGUUUUCUUUCAUCUGCUCAGUUAUUCAAAGUGCAAAAAGUGUUUUAACCCCAUUAGGAGUUAAAUCCCCAUUCAAAAAAAAGCUGAAAAAGCAGGUAACUGCAAACCCACCAGCAAAGCAGCAGUCAUUACCUGAAGAAUCAGUAGGUUUUCAGUAUUGUCAGGAUAGCAAUACCAAUGCAAAUAACAUGUAUUUGCAAAGAACACAAGAAUCCAAAGGGAAAUGUACACAUUACACAAUUUAAGGGACAAGUAUCUCCAACAAUUUAAAACAUUUUCAAGAGAUAACCUAAAAAAUUACAUUUUUCAUCUGCUAAUAAAAUACUCCACUAGGUAACAGAAAAUUAUUUUUAAAAAAAAUUAAGAUCAUCUUUAUGUGUUGAGACUUGUAAAAGACAAGUAACACAGCAUGAGAGUAAUGACUACAUGGGUCAGAUAUAAAGCAUUUUCCAAUUACAAACCACAAAAUUUAUUACAUGGAUUUUUUUUUCUGUAAUUAUAGUUAUUUUGCAUUACUGAUAUGGAAAUUUUCCAUGUAGCCUCUCAAAAGUAACAGGGCUGCUUUAAUAAUCAUAGGUUUCCUUCACACACAGUUUGCAAUAUUAGCAACCAGAUAACUACUGUGUUCAGGGAAAAGAGAACUUAACACACCUACAUUUUUACAGCUCCAAUAGAAAUUAACCCAUUACAUGCAAAAAUUAACAAAGGUUCAGGACCACUUUCAGCUUAAAUUGCAAAUAAGGAAAACAGUUUACUAGAAAGGACAGAUAAUUAAAAAUGAAAAUCACUUAAAUGCUCCUAGUAUUGUUGAAGAGAGAAAAUAAAGUAUUGACAUAUUGAUUAAGGUUGUCCUAAAACACAGAAAUAAACAUUCAGUACAUA
Long non-coding RNA from Passer montanus (Eurasian tree sparrow), 1035 nucleotides. RefSeq lists it as uncharacterized. The transcript is spliced from 2 exons. The record is from RefSeq and is a predicted model, not a curated record. NCBI's taxonomy places the organism in Eukaryota, Metazoa, Chordata, Aves, Passeriformes, Passeridae.